GAUUGAGUAUUUUUUGGUACCAGCUGUGUUCUAGCUCUUGGAAAUAAACCAGUCAAUGUAAAGGCAGCUUUCCUGUUUCAUUGAGAGGAGAAAGACAAAAAAAUUAAGGAAGUCAAUAUUUAAAAGUGAUUGAUGCAUGUUAUAUGCAACAUGGAACACACUGAUGCGAUGGUGAUGGAAGUUAUGCCAUGUUUUCCAUAAUGAACACAGAGGAAUUCCCUGAGGUGAAGCCUUUGAGCGAAGGUUUGAAGAGCAAAAAGAAAUGAAACCUGUGACGACUGGAAAAGGGCACACAAAUGCCAGGACUCCAAAUCAGGAACAACAUUGACAUGUUUAAGAAAAUGCAAAAGGCCUUGUUUGAGCGAAGAGGAGGGAAGGAGAGAGAAGGCAUCUUCUACUUGCUGAUUCACACGUCAGCUGCCCAUCACAGUUGAAUUAAUUUCAGCAUCUGAAAGAACACCCUAUACUAUUAUGUAUGGACGCAAAACAAAAUCUGUGGCUGUGGCAAAGGAGAACAGAGUAGGUGUUUUCCUGUUCCUUCUCUCUUACCAGGAAGAUUGUGUACGAUAAGCAGAUAACUGUCCAUCAACUAGUUUACCUCAGUUGAUGCUCUUAGUUAAUGGCUGAUGAGAAACAUAUAACUGAU
Ochotona curzoniae (black-lipped pika) is the source of this 646-nucleotide long non-coding RNA. RefSeq lists it as uncharacterized. Lineage: Eukaryota; Metazoa; Chordata; Mammalia; Lagomorpha; Ochotonidae. The record is from RefSeq and is a predicted model, not a curated record. The transcript has 3 exons.